This 797-nucleotide ribosomal RNA is filed under the name uncultured marine bacterium. Its description in RNAcentral is "bacterial SSU rRNA". It matches the Rfam family "Bacterial small subunit ribosomal RNA", at positions 36 to 880 of the family's 1533-position model. The record is from RNAcentral.
CUGGCGGCAGGCCUUAUACAUGCAAGUCGAGCGCAUCCUUCGGGAUGAGCGGCGGACGGGUGAGUAACGCGUGGGAAUGUGCCCUUCUCUACGGAAUAGCCACUGGAAACGGUGAGUAAUACCGUAUACGCCCUUAGGGGGAAAGAUUUAUCGGAGAAGGAUCAGCCCGCGUUAGAUUAGGUAGUUGGUGGGGUAACGGCCUACCAAGCCUACGAUCUAUAGCUGGUUUUAGAGGAUGAUCAGCCACACUGGGACUGAGACACGGCCCAGACUCCUACGGGAGGCAGCAGUAGGGAAUCUUGGACAAUGGGGGAAACCCUGAUCCAGCCAUGCCGCGUGAGUGAAGAAGGCCUUAGGGUCGUAAAGCUCUUUCGCCUGUGAUGAUAAUGACAGUAGCAGGUAAAGAAACCCCGGCUAACUCCGUGCCAGCAGCCGCGGUAAUACGGAGGGGGUUAGCGUUGUUCGGAAUUACUGGGCGUAAAGCGCGCGUAGGCGGAUUGGAAAGUUGGGGGUGAAAUCCCGGGGCUCAACCCCGGAACUGCCUCCAAAACUGCCAGUCUAGAGUUCGAGAGAGGUGAGUGGAACUCCAAGUGUAGAGGUGAAAUUCGUAGAUAUUUGGAGGAACACCAGUGGCGAAGGCGGCUCACUGGCUCGAUACUGACGCUGAGGUGCGAAAGUGUGGGGAGCAAACAGGAUUAGAUACCCUGGUAGUCCACACCGUAAACGAUGAAUGCCAGUCGUCGGGUAGUAUACUAUUCGGUGACACACCUAACGGAUUAAGCAUUCCGCCUGGGGAG